RNAcentral lists this ribosomal RNA (156 nucleotides) under uncultured bacterium. Its description in RNAcentral is "partial 16S ribosomal RNA". It matches the Rfam family "Bacterial small subunit ribosomal RNA", at positions 1345 to 1500 of the family's 1533-position model. The record is from RNAcentral.
CGGAUCAGAAUGCCGCAGUGAAUACGUUCCCGGGUCUUGUACACACCGCCCGUCACACCAUGGGAGUCGGAAAUGCCCGAAGUCUGUGACCCAACCUUAGGGAGGGAGCAGCCGAAGGCAGGUCGGAUGACUGGGGUGAAGUCGUAACAAGGUAGC